GACGAACGCUGGCGGCGUGCCUAACACAUGCAAGUCGAACGGAACUGCUUCGAAGGAUUUCUUCGGAAUGACAUUGAUUCAGUUUAGUGGCGGACGGGUGAGUAACGCGUGAGUAACCUGCCUUCAAGAGGGGGAUAACAUUCUGAAAAGAAUGCUAAUACCGCAUGACAUAUGAUUGUCGCAUGGCAGACAUAUCAAAGAUUUAUCGCUUGAAGAUGGACUCGCGUCCGAUUAGUUAGUUGGUGAGGUAACGGCCCACCAAGACCGCGAUCGGUAGCCGGACUGAGAGGUUGAACGGCCACAUUGGGACUGAGACACGGCCCAGACUCCUACGGGAGGCAGCAGUGGGGGAUAUUGCGCAAUGGGGGCAACCCUGACGCAGCAACGCCGCGUGAAGGAUGAAGG
Molecule: ribosomal RNA, 405 nt
Filed under: uncultured bacterium
Lineage: Bacteria
Description: bacterial SSU rRNA
Rfam family: Bacterial small subunit ribosomal RNA
Source: RNAcentral